This 501-nucleotide long non-coding RNA is filed under the name Homo sapiens (human). RNAcentral describes it as "HSALNT0311006". The record is from RNAcentral. Lineage: Eukaryota; Metazoa; Chordata; Mammalia; Primates; Hominidae.
GAUCACAGCUCACUACAACCUCAACCUCCCUGGGAUCAAGCUAUCCUCCCAUCUUAGCUUCCCAAGUCAUUGGGACUACAGGGAAUGUGCCGCUGUGCCCAGCCAAACUGGAUCUUCAGUAUGUUUAUGUAACUUUCCGGGAGCAGAGUGUUUUCAGCUUUGGAGCUUCAAUCGAACUUUUGAGACAAGAAGAGGAAAGACAAGAAAAGUGUCUUCUUCACAAUUUUAUUAUUUUGGUGUCAAAGAUUCCAGUUGAUUAUCCCUUUCUAUCUCCAAAGUCUGGCAAACCCUACUUACCUCCCCAACUGCUUUCGAAAGCAUAAACAAAAUAAAAUAACAUCAUCAAAGAUUCCAGAAGAUUGGGAAAGGUGUGGAAGGUAGUGAUUAAAGUAUAGUUGUAAGGGCCCUUUGACAUCAAUUUUAUUCUCUCAGGGGGCUUAAAGUGUUUCUUUUCUGCUUCCUUUACUACAAAGAUAUUUCACUCAAACUCUAUCUUGUUAU